RNAcentral lists this ribosomal RNA (254 nucleotides) under uncultured bacterium. Its description in RNAcentral is "partial 16S ribosomal RNA". It matches the Rfam family "Bacterial small subunit ribosomal RNA", at positions 524 to 776 of the family's 1533-position model. The record is from RNAcentral.
UACGUAGGGUGCAAGCGUUUGUCCGGAAUUAUUGGGCGUAAAGAGCUCGUAGGCGGUCUGUCGCGUCUGCUGUGAAAACUCAGGGCUUAACCCUGAGCUUGCAGUGGGUACGGGCAGACUAGAGUGCGGUAGGGGAGACUGGAAUUCCUGGUGUAGCGGUGAAAUGCGCAGAUAUCAGGAGGAACACCGAUGGCGAAGGCAGGUCUCUGGGCAUUAACUGACGCUGAGGAGCGAAAGCAUGGGGAGCGAACAGG